GACGAACGCUGGCGGCGUGCUUAACACAUGCAAGUCGAACGGAAAGGCCCUGCUUUUGUGGGGUGCUCGAGUGGCGAACGGGUGAGUAACACGUGAGUAACCUGCCCUUGACUUUGGGAUAACUUCAGGAAACUGGGGCUAAUACCGGAUAGGAGCUCCUGCUGCAUGGUGGGGGUUGGAAAGUUUCGGCGGUUGGGGAUGGACUCGCGGCUUAUCAGCUUGUUGGUGGGGUAGUGGCUUACCAAGGCUUUGACGGGUAGCCGGCCUGAGAGGGUGACCGGCCACAUUGGGACUGAGAUACGGCCCAGACUCCUACGGGAGGCAGCAGUGGGGAAUACUGCACAAUGGGCGGAAGCCUGAUGCAGCAACGCCGCGUGCGGGAUGAUGGCCUUCGGGUUGUAAACCGCUUUCGCCUGUGACGAAGCGUGAGUGACGGUAAUGGGUAAAGAAGCACCGGCUAACUACGUG
This 468-nucleotide ribosomal RNA is filed under the name uncultured bacterium. RNAcentral describes it as "partial 16S ribosomal RNA". It matches the Rfam family "Bacterial small subunit ribosomal RNA", at positions 28 to 507 of the family's 1533-position model. The record is from RNAcentral.